AAGGAAGCGAUUGGGACCUUUUCGAUUCCAAGAAGUGCCGCCGGUUUGCCAUCGAUCCCUUUGCCUUCUCUCUCUCACCAGGUUUAGGCUUUGGUUUCUCGAUGUAUUUCCGGUUCAUCUUUUUGGAGAGGUCAGCAUCAGCUACUCGGAAUUGAUUUCGUUCAAAGAAGGUAGGUCCCUCGUGGACCCUUAUAUCUUUGUUCUUUCCUUUUCCUUGUGGCUGAGGAGUGUUCUUGUUUCCGAGCUCCACUUUCGAGUACUCGGUUUCUGUGAUGCUGGCUUAAUCGGUUCCAACCGACCCGUCUUGAAACACGGACCAAGGAGUCUAACAUAUGUGCGAGUAUGCGGGUUUUACUCCUGUAUGCGCAAUGAAAGUGAGAGUAGGGAGAUUUUGGCUUUGCCAUUCUUCGCACCUACGACCGACCACGAUCUCUGAGAGAGGUUUGAGUUGGAGCAUAUCUGUUAGGACCCGAAAGAUGGUGAACUAUGCCUGAGUAGAAUGAAGUCAGGGGAAACCCUGAUGGAGGUUCGUAGCGAUACUGACGUGCAAAUCGUUCGUCAAACUUGGGUAUAGGGGCGAAAGACUAAUCGAACCAUCUAGNAGCUGGA
RNAcentral lists this ribosomal RNA (609 nucleotides) under Neospora caninum. RNAcentral's name for it is "eukaryotic LSU rRNA". It matches the Rfam family "Eukaryotic large subunit ribosomal RNA", at positions 413 to 955 of the family's 3401-position model. Lineage: Eukaryota; Apicomplexa; Conoidasida; Eucoccidiorida; Sarcocystidae. The record is from RNAcentral.